AUUUUCGCGGAGAGUUUGAUCCUGGCUCAGGAUGAACGCUGGCGGCGUGCUUAAUACAUGCAAGUCGAACGGAGACAGUAGCAAUAUUGUCUUAGUGGCGAACGGGUGAGUAACGCGUUGGUGACCUGCCCAGAAGCGGGGGAUAACAGUUCGAAAGGACUGCUAAUACCCCAUGUGAUCUUGAG
This 185-nucleotide ribosomal RNA is filed under the name Anaerolineaceae bacterium. RNAcentral's name for it is "partial 16S ribosomal RNA". It matches the Rfam family "Bacterial small subunit ribosomal RNA", at positions 1 to 185 of the family's 1533-position model. Lineage: Bacteria; Bacillati; Chloroflexota; Anaerolineae; Anaerolineales; Anaerolineaceae. The record is from RNAcentral.